GGGGUUGACUUGCUUGAUCAUUUGUGGCGUGAAACUCGACCAAAGUGAUUUAAGGACGCAGAUUAAUUAGAUUAAUCAACCGAGAGUUGCAAAACUGUUGUUGCAAUUGGCUUAGAGGCCUACUAAGUAAUAUUAUUGCAGUCAUCAGCCCAAGCAGAGGCUGCAUAAUAUUGACUUAGAUCUCGAACCACUAAGAUUUAUAUGGAUUAUAAAUUCGUGUUUUACGUUGGG
This 231-nucleotide long non-coding RNA is filed under the name Salvia miltiorrhiza (redroot sage). RNAcentral describes it as "long non-coding RNA (SMIL_LNC009676)". The record is from RNAcentral. Lineage: Eukaryota; Viridiplantae; Streptophyta; Magnoliopsida; Lamiales; Lamiaceae.